GCCUAGGCUUCCCUUGAUGGUUCUUGCUCGAAGAGAUUUGAGCGGGAUGAAAAGGGAAUACGGUGAGGCGUAGCCAGAAGGCACCAAACCCGUAACUGCCCCCGCAACUGUAAGCGGCGAGCGUUUCCGAAGAACACCACUGAAUGAACCCCGCUCCAAUGAGUGAGGCGAUUUUGGGAAGGUUCGGAUACGCUGUGACCCGCAAGUCAGGAGACCUGCCAUCGUGAUUUCACUCAA
Molecule: non-coding RNA, 237 nt
Filed under: Ahrensia sp. R2A130
Lineage: Bacteria; Pseudomonadati; Pseudomonadota; Alphaproteobacteria; Hyphomicrobiales; Ahrensiaceae
Also listed under: 1 other name
Source: RNAcentral